RNAcentral lists this ribosomal RNA (396 nucleotides) under uncultured bacterium. Its description in RNAcentral is "partial 16S ribosomal RNA". It matches the Rfam family "Bacterial small subunit ribosomal RNA", at positions 523 to 918 of the family's 1533-position model. The record is from RNAcentral.
AUACGUAGGUGGCAAGCGUUGUCCGGAUUUACUGGGUGUAAAGGGCGUGUAGGCGGAGAUGCAAGUCAGGAGUGAAAUCUAGGGGCUCAACCCCUAAACUGCUUUUGAAACUGUAUCCCUUGAGUAUCGGAGAGGCAGGCGGAAUUCCUAGUGUAGCGGGGAAAUGCGUAGAUAUUAGGAGGAACACCAGUGGCGAAGGCGGCCUGCUGGACGACAACUGACGCUGAGGCGCGAAAGCGUGGGGAGCAAACAGGAUUAGGUACCCUGGUAGUCCACGCUGUAAACGAUGAAUACUAGGUGUGGGGGGACUGACCCCCUCCGUGCCGCAGUUAACACAAUAAGUAUUCCACCUGGGGAGUACGAUCGCAAGAUUGAAACUCAAAGGAAUUGACGGGG